This 221-nucleotide long non-coding RNA is filed under the name Elaeis guineensis (African oil palm). Its description in RNAcentral is "long non-coding RNA (EGUI_LNC076351)". Lineage: Eukaryota; Viridiplantae; Streptophyta; Magnoliopsida; Arecales; Arecaceae. The record is from RNAcentral.
CUUUUUCUCCUCUUGGUUGGCGGUGGUUAAGGCUUAUUAUAGUCACCGGAAUCCACCCCCUCUGGUCAAGCUCCGCUGUUUUCCCACCUUCGGUGAAUCCCCCUUCCUCUGCUUGCUUUUCUUGGUCUUGGAUGCUGCCACCAUGGCAGCAAGGGGUCAACACCCUUUUCCUUCUCCUCUCUCAGUUCCCCGUGCAUGGUCGAACCCAGUCGCCCAGGUCA